This is a long non-coding RNA of Physeter macrocephalus (sperm whale), 1654 nucleotides long. RefSeq lists it as uncharacterized. The record is from RefSeq and is a predicted model, not a curated record. The transcript has 3 exons. NCBI's taxonomy places the organism in Eukaryota, Metazoa, Chordata, Mammalia, Artiodactyla, Physeteridae.
UAUGUGUGGGUCUCUACAUUAGGGCAUACGAUAAUGAACUGAACAAAGUGUGCUCAUAGUUUAGUGGGUGAGACAUUGUAUAAACACAAAUACUUACAAUCAUCCAAUAAUAAAUAUAGAAUCAUGAUAUGAACAAGGCCCUGUGGAAACACAGAAGAGGAAGGUAUCUAACUGCCUGGAGAAGUCAGGAGAGGCGUUUUGAACAAGAUGGCUUCCAGGCGGAAAGGGCUGAUGGAGGAGACCCACCGAGAACAGCAAGGGAAGGAAAGGAGGAAUGUUCCAGGAGCAGCAAGUAGCACACUUGGAGAAGCCUUGAGUGCAGGGUGCCUGUAAGGGAGUGGCAGGAGAUGAGGUGGAAGCUGUGGGCAAGAACCAAAGUGUCAAGGGUUUUCCGAGGAGUUUGGACUUUAUCCUGAAGGUUCUGCGGAACCUCUGAAAAGACAGAUAGGUUGCACUUUGACGGUUGCCUUUUGGAGAGAUAAUCUGUCAGCCGUGUGGAGGAUGGAUGGGAGACCAGGGGAGAAUAAGAAUAGCGUGGUGAAGAAGAGGACGUGCUGGUUCAGAAUCUCUGGAGGAGGGGCAGGACAGGCACACGUAUUUAAAAAGAAAACCACACAGGUGAUUCUGAUGCACCUUCCUGUUGCUCCCUCAAUACUACCUCCCAAACAAAUAAAUUGGGGGCAGUGAUGCAAAAGAGAUGGGUUUAAGAACUAUGAAGGAGACAGAAACUACGGGGUUGAGUGACAAAUUAAAUCCAGGGGGUGAGGGAGGAGAGGACAGAGUCUAGGGACGACCUGGGUGAUGGUAGAUGAUGGUACCAAAUCAGGAAAACAGGUGGAGAUGGCUCUCUUAGGGAGGACACUCCCUGAGAGUUAAGAUGGGAACAGAUCGUUGAGAGGCGCCCGCGGGGCCCCCAGGUGGAGUCACUUUGUAGGCAAGUAAAACUAAGGACUGGGAGCUCAUAGCAGAGUCAGGGCCAGACAUGUUUGAGGGUCCAGUAGUUGAAGCCAUGGAUAAUGAGAUCACUCACAAAAAGUCUCUGAGUGAGAGAAGAAAAGUGUUAAAGGAUGAAAUUCCUGUGAAACACAUAGCUUUAAGGAUGGCUGGAAGGGGAAAAGACUUGAAACCUGAUCAAAGAAGGAGAACAGGGGGAGACUGGUAUCUUCGAAGGAAGGGAACCGAAAGUUUCUACAAGGGUAGACCAGUGACAAAUGCCCCCAAGAGGUCAAGGCAGCGAGUGGAUCCUUUGGAUUUGACAACGGGAAGGCCACUCUUUACGUGAACAGUUGUAGGUCGGCUGUGGUGGUGGAAAGCAAGUGGCAGCGGUCAGCGAGGCCGGAAGGCAGGAGACCGAUGAAAGAACAAUGGCGUAAAGAACCAGAAGGUAACACUGUUCCAGGCGUCUUUUCAGAGGAUCAUCAGGUAUCCUGAACCAGGAGAAGGUGGCUCUCAGACCUCUCACUGGGACUGCAAAGGAGCUGAAAUGGCCUUUACAGUGAUGGCCGGAGUGACUUGCAAAGCAAUGUACUAAUGAUGGCGGAGACUCAGUUAGCCUGGAUCCCUGAAUGACUGUGAAUCAGAGCCCUUGCCAACUUGGAAUUGGUGCUGGAAGCUCGGCCUCUGUGCACAGGUGCCGAAUUGAAUCUCAGAGACA